GACGAACGCUGGCGGCGUGCUUAACACAUGCAAGUCGAACGGAAAGGCCCUGCUUUUGUGGGGUGCUCGAGUGGCGAACGGGGGAGUAACACGUGAGUAACCUGCCCUUGACUUUGGGAUAACUUCAGGAAACUGGGGCUAAUACCGUAUAGCAUCUCCUGCUGCAUGGUGGGGGGUGGAAAGUUUCGGCGGUUGGGGCUGGACUCGCGGCUUAUCAGCUUGCUGGUUGGGUAGUGGCUGACCAAGGCUUUGACCGGUAGCCGGCCUGAGAGGGUGACCGGCCACAUUGGGACUGCGAUACGGCCCAGACUCCUACGGGAGGCAGCAGUGGGGAAUAUUGCACAAUGGGCGGACGCCUGAUGAAGAAACGCCGCGUGCGGGAUGACGGCCUUCGGGUUGUAAACCGCUUUCGCCUGUGACGAAGCGUGAGUGACGGUACUGGGUAAAGAAGCACCGGCUAACUACGUG
RNAcentral lists this ribosomal RNA (468 nucleotides) under uncultured bacterium. Its description in RNAcentral is "partial 16S ribosomal RNA". It matches the Rfam family "Bacterial small subunit ribosomal RNA", at positions 28 to 507 of the family's 1533-position model. The record is from RNAcentral.